GACGAACCGUCCUAACGUUGUUCGGAAUCACUGGGCUUAAAGGGCGCGUAGGCGGGUUCCCAAGUCGGUGGUGAAAUCUUUCGGCCCAACCGGAAAACAGCCGCCGAUACUGGGAGUCUUGAGGGAGGUAGGGGUCGAUGGAACUUCCGGUGGAGCGGUGAAAUGCGUAGAUAUCGGAAGGAACGCCGGUGGCGAAAGCGAUCGACUGGACCUUUUCUGACGCUGAGGCACGAAGGUCAGGGGAGCAAACGGG
This 253-nucleotide ribosomal RNA is filed under the name uncultured bacterium. Its description in RNAcentral is "partial 16S ribosomal RNA". It matches the Rfam family "Bacterial small subunit ribosomal RNA", at positions 524 to 776 of the family's 1533-position model. The record is from RNAcentral.